AGUGGUCACCCGUCGGGUCACCGAGUCCGCAGAGGGCGAGGAGGAGGAACCAGCGCGUUGGGAGGGCGGCCUUGCCACCAGACACUUCUGAUACCGCAGCUAAUGAACAAGAGGAGAUGAACCUCAGUAACAGGGACAUCAUCGGUGCUAUGUAGGAUGACGGAGCUUCAACGGCAUCUCGCCAAACUGUGGGAGCUUCAGCUGCCGCAGGCUCAGUUGGCAGAGCUGCAGGCCUGCCGAUCUGGGAUGUCAUCACUGACCCUGAUGGAGCCCGGCUGGAGAAUCUGUUUGUGAGGAUCUGCUAAUUUUUCCGCCGAGUGAAAGGGGCUAUAAUUUCCUUUUUCAGACACUGAAAGGACUGAUCGACAACACAUCUAAAUGACUGUGUUUGGCAUACACGCAAAGUCAUGUACAAAGCGAGACGUUUAAAACUGUGGCCCUCUUCUCAUGGUGCUGCAACAAUCAGUGCAAGCAUUUUCCUCACUUGAUGUUUACUUUGCCGGUCAGUGUGGUGUUAUGGUGCAGCUUGCACAGUACACAUGUGGGAGGAGAGGUGCAAACAGGCAGGAGGUUAAAACUCAGAUGAAGCAGCUCAAAGUGAGUUGCUCGUAUCUUGGUGGAAAUUGGGUCUUUGAACUGAGAAUAGAGGUCUCAGCCUGUGCAUAUUCUCAUUUGUCCAGGUCAUAGUAUCCUAAAGGAGUUUUAAAUCGAAAAAACAACUGGACUUGAUUAUUUGUCUGGGAAGACGUUUCACCUCUCAUCCAAGAGGCUUCAGCAGUUCAUGUACGCAUCUGACCAGGCUGGGACUGGUCCAACUUUCUGGUGUGGAGACCCAGGUAUUCAACCUCUUGUGGGCGUUCACAAGGCUGAUGAUGUCAGCCAAAGGGAACCAGUGACCAGUGGCCUCUUGGAUGAGAGGUGAAACGUCUUCCCAGACAAAUAAUCAAGUCCAGUUGUUUUUUCGAUUUAAAACUCCUUUAAAAUAGAGGUCUCAGUACCAUGUCUGCUUCUAGUGCAAUGUCAAUCUGCUGCCAGAAACAUCUGGUGAUUUUGUUUGCUGACUGAUUGACUGAUUGACUGAUUGAUUGAUUGAUUGAUUGAUUGAUUGAUUGAUUGAUGGAAUGCAUUACCAAUUAACUUGUUCUGAGAAUAAAAACUCUCCUUUUUAAA
This is a long non-coding RNA of Seriola aureovittata, 1170 nucleotides long. RefSeq lists it as uncharacterized. The record is from RefSeq and is a predicted model, not a curated record. The transcript is spliced from 2 exons. Lineage: Eukaryota; Metazoa; Chordata; Actinopteri; Carangiformes; Carangidae.